Molecule: long non-coding RNA, 1736 nt
Organism: Jaculus jaculus (lesser Egyptian jerboa)
Lineage: Eukaryota; Metazoa; Chordata; Mammalia; Rodentia; Dipodidae
Exons: 4
Source: RefSeq, a predicted model, not a curated record
GCCAAGGCCAUGUGUUAGCAGAAAGUGUGUGAAGUCCUCCCUCAGGACUAGGUUGGGCUCCAUCUGCCCUUUAACCCCAGGGCAGAUCUUGCAGCCUUGCUGACUCUGCAUCAAGUCGCCGCCCUCUCCACGACUUGCCCAGGGCGGGAGGGAGCCGCUGCUUCCAUCCACUGCAUGGCUUCUGCGGAACCGAAGGCACUCACCGCCGCCCAUCUGCAGCAGCACGUCCGCGCCUCUGCACCACGGACUGUUCUUCUCCUCACCCCAGCGCUGGGGGCCAGUGUUGCUGCCCAUCCUGCCCCAACUUCACAACAGCCGGUGAAAGCUGCAGGAUGUGUGCUGUGUCUUCCAGGCUCACAUAUGGACACAUGUGUGGCUGAAGACUCGCUCCACAGGAGCAAAUGGGAAGGUCCAAAUUGGAAACUCUCAGAUCCACUUGUCGUCUGGUGCCCAGCUGCAUUAGGAUCCAUGCCUCUCUCGGCACCUGGACCUGCUGGAAGCCACUGACACAUGCUUCUCGCUGUCAUGAAAGAAUUAAAGACAACAUCUUGGACGGUCUCUGUACAUGGAAAAAUGAGAAUGUAUUCGCAGACAAAGCUUGACCUGAGGGAGAAGCCUGCCGGAAUCUGGAUUUUCAAUAACGGUCUCACUCUGGCCCAGUCUGACCUGGAACUCACACUGCAGUCUCUGGCUGGCCUCAAACUCAUGAUAAUCCUCCUACCCCUUCCUCCCAAGUGCUGGUAUGGCUCUGAUUCUUUACUUUAUAAAAAAUGAGUUUAGGGGCUGGAGGGAUGGCUUAGGUACUUGGCUGCACAGCCGUAGAACCCAUGUUCGAUUCUCCAGGACCCAUGUUAGCCAGAUGCACAAGGUGGCACAUGCAUCUGGAGUUCAUUUGCAGUGGCUACAGGCCCUGGUGUACCCUUUCUCUCUCUCUCUCUUUCAAAAAUAAAUAAUAAAUAAAAUGAGUUUAGGGCAGACAAUAAGAGCAGAGUAUUAACAUGUAUGAGGAGAUGCAGAAAGAUGGCAACUGGCAAACCAAGGAGAGAUGGCUCAGAAGAAGUAACCCAUCUUUGCCUUGAUGGAAGUCUCUUCCCUUCACAGUCCAUAUCCUGUUCAUAGUCCUCCAGCCUUUGUGACAGGUGGCAAAACAUUUGCAUAUUAGAAGCAAGAUAGUGGUAUGGCCAAGUCAGCCCCUGUCAGACCUGGACCUGCUUCUACCCAAGGCUAUUAUUAUGGUGACUUUGAACUGCUUACUCAUAGCAGUCAUCCAAGGAAAAGAGGUCUUAACUGUGAUUCAGGCUGGCACUCAAGGGACUCACUUUGCAGUUAAGAAAGAGGAAGUCCUGAAACCACCCAGACAAAGAGUCAUUCCCUGAAGAAGAUAUGAUGACGACAGACUUCUCAAUGAGACUAUGGAGGCAAGAAAGCAGUGGAACUGCGUCCUGAAAGAGCAUCUAGAAUUCUGUAAUCAGGGACAGUCCUGCUGGGACGAGGGGAAAUAUAGACAAUGCGAGUUUAAGGGAUUUAUUGCCAUCUGUGAUAAAUCUUGGGUAAAGUUCUUUGGAGGGCAAUUAUGCUAACUGGAAAUUUAGAUCUCAUGAGGCAAUGAAGUUUCUAAGCUGGGAAGAUGUAUACUAUUAUAAAAGACCUUUCAAAAAUGUUUUUAUUGAGGCUGGAGAGAUGGCUCAGCAGUUAAGGCUUAGGUUCAAUUCCUCAGUGCCCACAUGGAGUCAGAU